GCUGGCGGCGUGCCUAAUACAUGCAAGUAGAACGCUGAAGACUUUAGCUUGCUAGAGUUGGAAGAGUUGCGAACGGGUGAGUAACGCGUAGGUAACCUACCUAUUAGUGGGGGAUAACUAUUGGAAACGAUAGCUAAUACCGCAUAAUAGUGUUUAACACAUGUUAGAGACUUGAAAGAUGCAAUUGCAUCACUAGUAGAUGGACCUGCGUUGUAUUAGCUAGUUGGUGGGGUAACGGCCUACCAAGGCGACGAUACAUAGCCGACCUGAGAGGGUGAUCGGCCACACUGGGACUGAGACACGGCCCAGACUCCUACGGGAGGCAGCAGUAGGGAAUCUUCGGCAAUGGGGGCAACCCUGACCGAGCAACGCCGCGUGAGUGAAGAAGGUUUUCGGAUCGUAAAGCUCUGUUGUAAGAGAAGAACGUGUGUGAGAGUGGAAA
RNAcentral lists this ribosomal RNA (442 nucleotides) under Streptococcus macedonicus. RNAcentral's name for it is "bacterial SSU rRNA". It matches the Rfam family "Bacterial small subunit ribosomal RNA", at positions 35 to 464 of the family's 1533-position model. Lineage: Bacteria; Bacillati; Bacillota; Bacilli; Lactobacillales; Streptococcaceae. The record is from RNAcentral.